This 251-nucleotide unclassified non-coding RNA is filed under the name Hevea brasiliensis (rubber tree). Lineage: Eukaryota; Viridiplantae; Streptophyta; Magnoliopsida; Malpighiales; Euphorbiaceae. The record is from RNAcentral.
AAAUUUUCAUCCCCAACUUGAACAUCAUCUAACUUUUCAACACUUACUAUCUCUUCUAUAUGCUUGUUCUCGCCCACAUUCAAGUCCGUCAAAUUUGGAGCUAGAAUAAUCCAUGUCAGAUCCUUCAAUCUGAGGCUUCCCAUUAAAUUCAAUACUUUAAGGCUGUUAAAGCAUGUCUCCCUUGAGAUCAUUGAGUUGCCUAGACCUCCACCUGCAUCAUCAUGUGUUUCUAUCUCUUCCAUUACAACAUC